RNAcentral lists this ribosomal RNA (446 nucleotides) under uncultured bacterium. RNAcentral's name for it is "bacterial SSU rRNA". It matches the Rfam family "Bacterial small subunit ribosomal RNA", at positions 543 to 985 of the family's 1533-position model. The record is from RNAcentral.
GUCCGGAAUCAUUGGGCGUAAAGAGCUCGUAGGCGGCUUGGUAAGUCGGAUGUGAAACCUCCAGGCUCAACCUGGAGUCGCCAUCCGAUACUGCCAUGGCUAGAGUCCGGUAGGGGCCCACGGAACUCCUGGUGUAGCGGUGAAAUGCGCAGAUAUCAGGAAGAACACCGGUGGCGAAGGCGGUGGGCUGGGCCGGCACUGACGCUGAGGAGCGAAAGCGUGGGGAGCGAACAGGAUUAGAUACCCUGGUAGUCCACGCCGUAAACGUUGGGCACUAGGUGUGGGACCUUAUCAACGGGUUCCGUGCCGUAGCUAACGCAUUAAGUGCCCCGCCUGGGGAGUACGGCCGCAAGGCUAAAACUCAAAGGAAUUGACGGGGGCCCGCACAAGCGGCGGAGCAUGCGGCUUAAUUCGAGGCAACGCGAAGAACCUUACCUGGGUUGAAC